CAGCAGCCACGGUAAUACGUAGGGUCCGAGCGUUGUCCGGAAUUACUGGGCGUAAAGAGCUCGUAGGUGGUUUGUCGCGUUGUUCGUGAAAACUCACAGCUCAACUGUGGGCGUGCGGGCGAUACGGGCAGACUGGAGUACUGCAGGGGAGACUGGAAUUCCUGGUGUAGCGGUGGAAUGCGCAGAUAUCAGGAGGAACACCGGUGGCGAAGGCGGGUCUCUGGGCAGUAACUGACGCUGAGGAGCGAAAGCGUGGGGAGCGAACAGGAUUAGAUACCCGCGUAGUCCCUGUCUCUUAUAC
RNAcentral lists this ribosomal RNA (301 nucleotides) under uncultured bacterium. Its description in RNAcentral is "partial 16S ribosomal RNA". It matches the Rfam family "Bacterial small subunit ribosomal RNA", at positions 509 to 807 of the family's 1533-position model. The record is from RNAcentral.